GCUUACGGCCAUAUCUCGUUGAAAGCACCGGUUCUCGUCCCAUCACCGAAGUUAAGCAACGUCGAGCCUAGUUAGUACUUAGAUGGGUGACCGCUUGGGAAACCUAGGUGCAGUAAGCG
This 119-nucleotide ribosomal RNA is filed under the name Octopus vulgaris (common octopus). Lineage: Eukaryota; Metazoa; Mollusca; Cephalopoda; Octopoda; Octopodidae. RNAcentral also lists the same sequence under 1 other name. The record is from RNAcentral.